Molecule: ribosomal RNA, 536 nt
Filed under: uncultured bacterium
Lineage: Bacteria
Description: bacterial SSU rRNA
Rfam family: Bacterial small subunit ribosomal RNA
Source: RNAcentral
GAACUUUCCAGAGAUGGAUUGGUGCCUUCGGGAACUGUGAGACAGGUGCUGCAUGGCUGUCGUCAGCUCGUGUUGUGAAAUGUUGGGUUAAGUCCCGCAACGAGCGCAACCCUUAUCCUUUGUUGCCAGCGGUCCGGCCGGGAACUCAAAGGAGACUGCCAGUGAUAAACUGGAGGAAGGUGGGGAUGACGUCAAGUCAUCAUGGCCCUUACGACCAGGGCUACACACGUGCUACAAUGGCGCAUACAAAGAGAAGCGACCUCGCGAGAGCAAGCGGACCUCAUAAAGUGCGUCGUAGUCCGGAUUGGAGUCUGCAACUCGACUCCAUGAAGUCGGAAUCGCUAGUAAUCGUGGAUCAGAAUGCCACGGUGAAUACGUUCCCGGGCCUUGUACACACCGCCCGUCACACCAUGGGAGUGGGUUGCAAAAGAAGUAGGUAGCUUAACCUUCGGGAGGGCGCUUACCACUUUGUGAUUCAUGACUGGGGUGAAGUCGUAACAAGGUAACCGUAGGGGAACCUGCGGCUGGAUCACCUC